AUGCAAGGCCUCGCGGCAGCUUCAAGGGUCGUCGUGCUCGCGACGUUUUUCCUGAUCGGUUUCGGCGUGGCCGCCGCCGACGGCCGGAGGAGGCUCGUCUCCGGCAGCCCCGACGAGCCUUGCAGGCAGAUGACGCUCUUCUACCACGACAUCCUCCACGACGGCGCCAACAACACGGCCAACGCGACGUCGGCGGCCGCGACGAGCCCACCGGCGCUGAGCAACGACACCUACUUCGGCAUGCUGGUGGUGUUCGACGACCCGGUGACGGAGGGCCAGGCGCUGCCCGUCGGGGCCGAGGAGGAGCCGGCGGCGCGCGCGCAGGGGUUCUACUUCUACGACGGGAAGGGGUUCUUCAACGCGUGGUUCGCCUUCUCGCUCGUGUUCAACUCCACGGCGCACAGGGGCACCCUCAACCUCAUGGGCGCCGACCUCAUGGGCGAGGAGACGCGGGACAUCUCCAUCGUCGGCGGCACCGGCGACUUCUUCAUGGCGCGCGGCGUCGCAACCAUCCGCACGGACGCCAUCGAGGGCCUCUACUACUUCCGCUUGCAGAUGGACAUCAAGCUCUACGAGUGCUACGUCUGA
This 588-nucleotide ribosomal RNA is filed under the name Triticum aestivum (bread wheat). RNAcentral's name for it is "partial small subunit ribosomal RNA". The record is from RNAcentral. Lineage: Eukaryota; Viridiplantae; Streptophyta; Magnoliopsida; Poales; Poaceae.